UCGCGGCCUCCCGGGCUGGCCCCGAUCCAUGGCCUCUCCUUCCACCCAGAUCCGAUCCGUCACCGAUCGUCCGUGGCGCGAGCGCCGGGCCUCCUCCUCAAUCUCCUCGUUCUGCGCCGCCCCGAUUGCACUGCGCACACGCGCUCCGGAGCCAUUGCCGUUUUUUGUCGAGUCGCGUGAUCGAUGUCCGACCGGCACCGCAACCGGCCUCUUGUGCAGUUCCCGACCGCCGUCCCCUGCACCUCCUCCCGCGUCUCCCCACCUCGCAUGUGCAGCACCGUUGCUGCACGUCUCCAGCGCCAUCUGCUGCUGCCCCGCAGUCAACCGCUUGCACGCCAUGGGCAGCGGCCAUGGACCAGUUCGACAAGACGAUGGUGCUUGCGGGCGGGAUGCCCCUCGCCGCCGGAACCUUGACCAUACCCUCUGAAGAUGUGGGAGUCCUUGGGCACUCUUGUGUGACGCCUCUGCACUGUCUUUGAGGAGCACGAUGACUACCUGGAGGCCAAGCCGUUCGAUGUGUCCGUCAGGCCCGUACUUUCCUGCCUCUUCCCUGUCCUCCCCUCUUACUCUCAAACUCGAGCACCAACUCGACGGCAAGCACCAAGCAGCAGCUCAACCAAAGCCCGAAAUACAUUGAACGGACAAGUGCUGAACCGGUUCUCUGACUAGCCUGAUUGAUUCAAUCCUCAUGUGCUUGUGUCAAUGCAUGCAAGGGAGCAAGCGUACUGGAGGGAUGGUUGGAAGGAGAGUAAUUUGCUACAAAGCUUAUUAUUUAUGGUUAUUUCCUGAAUCUCUGAUAUAAUAUACGAUACAUUAUGUAGAAACCAAAAUGAUGUUCAUAGAGAUCUCAGAAUUAGGUGAAUAUCAUUUAUGCUUGUGUUAUAUUUUUCAUUUUAUGAUUUAGCACCGCUCGCCAACUAUGGUUACCGUGUGUGGCUUGAAUCCAAUAGCAUGUGAUUGAACAAAUGAACGAAAUAUAGGUGAAACAUUUAAUUUUUAGAAGAGAUGGGUGCUACGUACUUCAGUUCAAGUGUUCCCUAAAUUUUUUUAUAGUUUGCAUUGAGACACAGUAAUUGCUUAAAGCAUGUAUUUGACUGCAAUGUUGCUUGCCGGCAUCUCCACCAUUCAUCUUGUCGCUGAUAGAACCCCAGGCUCUUCCACCUAUAGCAAACAAAUAAAAGGACUUGAUUUAUGGGCUUUUAAAUUGGUUGUAUCUACAUGGAAGGUUACUACAACACUACGCAUAUCUUGCAGAUGUUUUUCUUUUGCUGAAAAUAGUAGGUGAGUAUUAAUCUUCUGCAGGUUUUGUAUUUGACACUAUUUUGUAUGUUUAAAGGAUAAACUUCUAUGGCUCUUUUCACUUCAGCAAGUGAACAACUUGUAUCACUUAUGAUAUUCGUUGUGCUAUACUUAUAACUGAAAUAUGUAGCGUAGCACAUGUUACACUAUCCGCUUGUCCAAAAACUGGAACAGCCAGCCGAUGUUGGGUAGUGGUGUAUCCUUAUAUUUAUGUUGAUAGUUGUUGAGGAUUUGUUGGGUGUAACCUAAAGGACACUUCAUAUGACCCUAUUGCAACCCACGUGCUCUUUUGCUCCGGUUGAUGGAGAAGUUGCAGUAGGCUGAAGACAUCCAUCAAGGCCGAGGACCAGGAGAUGAAACGGUGAGUGACAGAGUGUACUGGUGCAUGUUGUGGCAGCUGUGCAGUUGACCAAUGAGUAUUGGCUCUCAUACCUUCAACUUACUUUUAGAAACUACACAUAUUCGCACAAUGUACUAAUCGUUCAGUGUGCUUUGAUGUAGAGUGGUGUUCUCCAUGUUGUUAGCAUAGGAGUAUUGUUACAAUGGCAACAUAUGAUCGAAAUGCCCAUGUAUCAUAAUUUAUGGUGUACCUGA
Molecule: long non-coding RNA, 1893 nt
Organism: Triticum dicoccoides
Lineage: Eukaryota; Viridiplantae; Streptophyta; Magnoliopsida; Poales; Poaceae
Exons: 2
Source: RefSeq, a predicted model, not a curated record